GACGAACGCUGGCGGCGUGCCUAACACAUGCAAGUCGAGCGGUUCUUAAGCUGUAGUUUACUAUAGCUUAAGAAUAGCGGCGAACGGGUGAGUAACACGUGGGCAACCUGUCCGAAAGAUCGGGAUAACAGUCCGAAAGGGCUGCUAAUACCGAAUACGCUUACCGGGUCGCAUGAUCCGGUAAGGAAAGGUCGGCAACUUCCGCUUUCGGGUGGGCCCGCGUCCCAUUAGCUAGUUGGUAGGGUAACGGCCUACCAAGGCAACGAUGGGUAGCUGGUCUGAGAGGAUGGUCAGCCACACUGGGACUGAGACACGGCCCAGACUCCUACGGGAGGCAGCAGUGGGGAAUCUUGCGCAAUGGGCGAAAGCCUGACGCAGCGACGCCGCGUGAGCGAGGAAGGCCUUCGGGUCGUAAAGCUCUGUCAGAGGGGACGGAGUAAUAGACGGUACCCGUCCAGAGGAAGCCCCGGCUAACUACGUGCCAGCAGCCGCGGUAAAUAGACGUACU
RNAcentral lists this ribosomal RNA (508 nucleotides) under uncultured bacterium. RNAcentral describes it as "bacterial SSU rRNA". It matches the Rfam family "Bacterial small subunit ribosomal RNA", at positions 28 to 531 of the family's 1533-position model. The record is from RNAcentral.